This 468-nucleotide ribosomal RNA is filed under the name uncultured bacterium. RNAcentral's name for it is "partial 16S ribosomal RNA". It matches the Rfam family "Bacterial small subunit ribosomal RNA", at positions 28 to 507 of the family's 1533-position model. The record is from RNAcentral.
GACGAACGCUGGCGGCGUGCUUAACACAUGCAAGUCGAACGGAAAGGCCCUGCUUUUGUGGGGUGCUCGAGUGGCAAACGGGUGAGUAACACGUGAGUAGCCUGCCCUUGACUUUGGGAUAACUUCAGGAAACUGGGGCUAAUACCGGAUAGGAGCUCCUGCUGCAUGGUGGGGGUUGGAAAGUUUCGGCGGUUGGGGAUGGACUCGCGGCUUAUCAGCUUGUUGGUGGGGUAGUGGCUUACCAAGGCUUUGACGGGUAGCCGGCCUGAGAGGGUGACCGGCCACAUUGGGACUGAGAUACGGCCCAGACUCCUACGGGAGGCAGCAGUGGGGAAUAUUGCACAAUGGGCGGAAGCCUGAUGCAGCAACGCCGCGUGCGGGAUGACGGCCUUCGGGUUGUAAACCGCUUUCGCCUGUGACGAAGCGUGAGUGACGGUAAUGGGUAAAGAAGCACCGGCUAACUACGUG